RNAcentral lists this long non-coding RNA (1521 nucleotides) under Equus caballus (horse). Its description in RNAcentral is "lncRNA (ENSECAG00000057024.1)". Lineage: Eukaryota; Metazoa; Chordata; Mammalia; Perissodactyla; Equidae. The record is from RNAcentral.
GAAGAGAGAAAAUGAGACAGUGGAAAGAGAGAGACAGGCAGACAGACACAAGGAAGAGCGACAGAGAAAGGACAAGACAGCAGUAGAAAAUGAGUGAAUGAGAGAGAGACAGGGAGGGAGGGGGAGUCUGCUAGAGACAGAAAAGACAAAGAGAAAGAGCCACAGGUAGACCAACAGACACGCUCGAGAGCAUUCAAGGCCUGCGGUUCAGUGAUCCAAGGUCAGCUCCAUGCAUUCCUUCUGUACUUCGUUUGUUUACAGGCACCAAUAAAUUCCCCCUUCACUUCAACAUAAUAGCCACCCUUUCUUGAGCACUUGUGUGCGCCAGGCACUGGGCCAAGCACUUUGGAUGCACGAUCUCAUUUAUGUUGUUACAUCAUAAUGGUUCUAUGAAGGUGUUAGGAAGAACUGAGGAACAGAGAAGUUCAACAAUGUGCUCGAGGUCACACAGCCUGGAAGCAGCAGAGCUGGGGUUUGAACCCAGGCUGUCAGAUGCCAGAGUGCUGGACCACUAUGUGGAGUCACUGUCAUUCAUAACCAAGGAGGUCCUGAGUGGCACUCCAGUAGAGCAGAUUCAGCAGAAAGACCGGCUCAACGCUGGACUGCUGACCCCAGACCCUUGAGAGGCUGGAUGGCAUCGUAUGUGGGCUUGGGAGUCAGACCAAGCAGGAUCGAAUCCAACUUCUUACCUAUGAUUUCCCAGGAAGAAAAGGAUUCCAUGACUCUAAGAAGUCCUAAAACCAAUGAUCUAUCCAGCAGUCAUUCCCAAAGCUGCCUGUGCAUCGGGAUCAACUGGGUGACUUGUCCUCUCCCAUAGCCAGUAAGGCUGAAGAAGUCCUGAAGAAAUGCUGGACUUGCCCUUCAACAUCCAGAGGUGCCCUUCCUGGCUCUACUUCCCUCGUCCUCUGCUGGGCUGCCACCAGUUCACCGGGUUGCUGGGAGGACUGAUAACAGCAUGUGUGGUGGUUGACAUGUGCUGUUGUCUGCCCAUCACCCAUUUCCCCUGCAUCUAAUUACAGAAUGCCCCUUGUCCCUUAGGCACCCACCCUUUCCCACUCUCAAGUCAUGUGGUAUAAGCAGCACUGACCCUCAUGGUACCCCCAAUUCUAAUGGGGUCUCUUCCCCUGCAUCCUGGGGUGUGUGACUUGGGCCUGUUCAAUCUCUGUGUUCCAUGCCUCUUGCCACAAGACUUGAUUUGAGAUGGACAACAAACCCAGUCUAUUCUAUAAGAGUCAAUUCCUGGACCUUGGGCUCAAACUCUUGGGGGAGAGAAAUUCUGUUUCUAGUAGGGUUGUCGAGCUGCAAGAUUUGAGUCUGGAGCUUUCAACAACCAUUUUCCAGCUUCCUAGGGGAAAGCUAGUCUGAGAAUGAAGUUAGCACAGAGCCAAGGGACCAAGACACAGAGACCCUAAGCUGCUGGAUCCACCUGGGCCUGAUGCCAGACAACCCUGUACAUCUCAGUCACAUGAACCAAUAAAUUUUCCUUUCUUGGUCAACCUGAUCUGAGUUGACAUUCUGCUC